UAGAUGCGAGAGUAGAGCAUAUCAAUAAGCGGAGGAAAAGAAACUAACUAGGAUUCCCUCAGUAACGGCGAGUGAAGCGGGAAGAGCUCAAAUUUGAAAUCUUCAAGGUUUUACCUUGACGAAUUGUAGUUUAAAGAAGUGUUUUCUGUUGGUGUCUUGGUAAAAGUUCUUUGGAAUAGGACAUCAUAGAGGGUGAGAAUCCCGUAUUUGACCAUUACUUCCAGCGUUGUGAUACACUUUCAAAGAGUCGGAUUGUUUGGGAAUGCAGUCCAAAAUGGGUGGUAAAUUUCAUCUAAAGCUAAAUAUUGGCGAGAGACCGAUAGCGAACAAGUACCGUGAGGGAAAGAUGAAAAGAACUUUGAAAAGAGAGUUAAACAGUACGUGAAAUUGUCAAAAGGGAAGCGUUUGACACCAGUGUUGUUUUCUCGAAAAUCAAUUAAAAAUGACCGGAUUUUGUGUUGUAUUGACUUUAUCAGCUUUCUGCACUUUUUUCUUGUCUUUUUUAAUGCACUUUUCGUUUAACAAGUCAACAUCAAUUUCUUUUGUUGUAAAAGAGACAUUGGAAGGUGGCUUUCUUUUCGGAGAAAGUGUUUAUAGCCUUUGGCUUCUGCAAUCGGAGAGAUUGAGGUCUGCAGCGUAGAUCCUUCGGGGUUAGAUACAUUUGUGCUAAGUUAUAGCCUUUCAUAGACAACUUGUUGACUAUGAUCAGUCAUGUAGCUUACUCGCUUAUGUCAUUUUACCUACGCUUAGGAUGUUGAUAGUCACAGCGUGUAC
Molecule: ribosomal RNA, 774 nt
Filed under: uncultured Neocallimastigales
Lineage: Eukaryota; Fungi; Neocallimastigomycota; Neocallimastigomycetes; Neocallimastigales
Description: partial large subunit ribosomal RNA
Rfam family: Eukaryotic large subunit ribosomal RNA
Source: RNAcentral